CGCUGGCGGCGUGCCUAAAACAUGCAAGUCGAGCGGACCAAAGGGAGCUUGCUCCUGGAGUUAGCGGCGAACGGGUGAGUAACACGUGGGCAACCUGCCUGUAAGACUGGGAUAACAUCGAGAAAUCGGUGCUAAUACCGGAUAAUAAAAAGAACUGCAUGGUUCUUUUUUGAAAGAUGGUUUCGGCUAUCACUUACAGAUUGGGCCCGCGGCGCAUUAGCUAGUUGGUGAGGUAACGGCUCACCAAGGCAACGAUGCGUAGCCGACCUGAGAGGGUGAUCGGGCCACACUGGGACUGAGACACGGCCCAGACUCCUACGGGAGGCAGCAGUAGGGAAUCUUCCGCAAUGGACGAAAGUCUGACGGAGCAACGCCGCGUGAGUGAUGAAGGUUUUCGGAUCGUAAAACUCUGUUGUUAGGGAAGAACAAGUGCCGUUCGAAAGGGCGGCACCUUGACGGUACCUAACGAGAAAGCCACGGCUAACUACGUG
Molecule: ribosomal RNA, 491 nt
Filed under: uncultured bacterium
Lineage: Bacteria
Description: bacterial SSU rRNA
Rfam family: Bacterial small subunit ribosomal RNA
Source: RNAcentral